Molecule: long non-coding RNA, 990 nt
Organism: Myotis daubentonii (Daubenton's bat)
Lineage: Eukaryota; Metazoa; Chordata; Mammalia; Chiroptera; Vespertilionidae
Source: RefSeq, a predicted model, not a curated record
GUCCCGCCGGUGGGACUCUGCCGCGCCUCGCUCGCCUGCCUCCGGUCCGUCUCAGGACGGGGCCGGGCCGGCGGGUGAAAUGGGACAAGGGCGCUGCGCCGCGUGGAGCGGAAUCCCGGCCCGCACGCACCCAGGUGCUUUCACAGCUCCUCGCCCAACACUCUCUCGGUCGCAGAAACACCUUUCCCCGCCCCACGCCGACGGCCAGCGGGGCCAGGGAGGGCUGACCUCUCACCGGAGGCGAAAUGAUUCCCCACCCCGAGGGCUGGAGCUCCGGGAACUUGCCAAACUGUCCGGAGUGAACCGGGCUGGGACUGGGAUGCGCGAGUAGGCUGGGAUGGGUGGGGCUCCUUGCUGGUGGUGCUAUGGGGAAGUUGCCCGGGAAUUUCACCCUUGACCUUACCAUGCGGUGCUGGAGGUGAGGGAAUGAAAUCGAGAGUUUACAACCUGGGAGGUAAAUUAACCCGUUUUUCUGUUGGGGACGUGUGGAUUAAAUGCUGGAAUUGGUGCGGGAAUAGACCACCCAAAGCCUGCUCAGUUGACUGUGGAAAGGAAUUCACUCAGCCCAAAAAGCAUGUGGCAACGACUGGGAUUUGGAAAGCUGCUUUGUUUCCUGUGAAUCUGCCUCUGGCUGAGAGACAGACUUUCAGGAAACAUCAGAUGCCAGACCCUGUGAGGAUACAGCCGAGAAAAGAGAAAUGGAUUCUGCCCCGAUGGCUUCGCGCUGUGGUUGGUGGUAAAUCCUGCAAGCUGCCAGGAAGUAUUGGAUCUGUGAACUCCAUGUGCACUUAAUCCCUGUGCUGUAUUGCCUCCCACAAUGAAGUAUGAAGAAGUUAAAGUGAUCACCCCCACAACUUGUAACAGAGCCAACCCUGGCCUCUUCUCACUACAAAACUCUUGCUAUUUCUACUGACCAUGAGCUAAUUUUUUAAAUGCUGACCAUUUCUUUUGACAAUAAAGAAAUGCAAGAUGUUUGCCUUUUUAACUUUC